CCCAUAAUUCUUCCGUUGGCUCCUCGUAUUUCCCUCCACGAUAUCGAAUUAAAAUCCCAAAAUUAUUUAAGCACAUAAAAUAAUAAUUGAAAUUAUUUUCCCUCAAAAAAAUAUAUUUACUUUGGACUUAGGAUAAAAUUCCUCCAAGAUGUAGAAAUUAAUCCUAAUAUUUAGUUAAGCGUGUAUGAUUAAAUUCCCGCAAAUUAUUUCUCUUCGACGUAAUUAUUUCCGACUUAAGAUAAAAUUAUUCACUCUUUGAAUUAUUCUGAAGAUUAUUUAAAUAUUCGUCACGAUUAAUUAUCGGCCCAAAACUAAAUUAUUUUCCCACCUUAUAUCUCCAAUUUAAAGUUUAAAGCCCAAAAUAAAAUAAAUGGAGUCCAACUAAACAAAUCAUCUACUUUAAUUUAAUGAGACCCAAUUCUUUUAAAAACCAAAGGCCCAACAUCUAAUUAGAGAAAAGAGACUAGCCCAUUUCAAUAACUAAAUUAGUCCAUAUACUCCCCUUCCACCACACGUAUCACUACUCUCUCUCACCUAAUCACUAUUCACCUUCUCCCCCAAUUUCACAAAACUUAGGAUAAAUCUCCCUCUUCUAUUCGUCGACCAGCCACCCCACCGGCACCGCCUCCGCUUCCGUUUUCGUCUCCGACGGUGUUCUCUUCCUCCUCCUCAUCUCUCCCUUUCUCUUCUCUCCCUCUUCACCGUACGCCGCUGCCUUCUCUCUCUCUCCCCCCCGAUCUGCCGGCGCUGCCUCGCGGAUCUGCCGGAGCCGCCUCGCGGAUCUGCCGGAGCCGCAGAUCCGCCUCCGUCGCCUCCUUCCUCACCCUCUCCUUUCUCUCCCUCGGCUCCCUCUUCCUUUCCCGGAUCUGUCGCCGCCGCCGCCGCUACUGUGCAUGCACAGGCGGCGGCUUCGCCCUCCUCCGCGCCUCGUGCUACCGGAGCAGCUUCCCGGCGUCACUCCAGCCCCGGCCGCCGCCUCCUCGCCGAACUCCCGGAAGAUUUGUCAAGAUUUUAUUGAAAGUCAUAGAGGUGUGAGGCUGCCUUCGUCGUCUCCGGGAUGCCGAGCUCGCUGCCGGAAUCCGACAGAUUCAUAGAGGUAUAAUCGGUUCAAGUUCGUGGCCGUCCGUGUUGAAGUACCCGAUUUUCUUAAACGCAUGA
Salvia splendens (bonfire salvia) is the source of this 1158-nucleotide long non-coding RNA. RefSeq lists it as uncharacterized. Lineage: Eukaryota; Viridiplantae; Streptophyta; Magnoliopsida; Lamiales; Lamiaceae. The record is from RefSeq and is a predicted model, not a curated record. The transcript has 3 exons.